Molecule: ribosomal RNA, 253 nt
Filed under: uncultured bacterium
Lineage: Bacteria
Description: partial 16S ribosomal RNA
Rfam family: Bacterial small subunit ribosomal RNA
Source: RNAcentral
UACGGAGGGGGCUAGCGUUGUUCGGAAUUACUGGGCGUAAAGCGCACGUAGGCGGCUUUGUAAGUUAGAGGUGAAAGCCCGGGGCUCAACUCCGGAAUUGCCUUUAAGACUGCAUCGCUAGAAUUGUGGAGAGGUAAGUGGAAUUUCCGGUGUAGCGGUGAAAUGCGUAGAUAUCGGAAGGAACACCAGUGGCGAAAGCGGCUUCCUGGUUCAGCACCGACGUUCAGGCACGAAAGCGUGGGGAGCAAACAGG